CAUCCCCCACAACGGCUUCCUGACGUGGCGGGUAAGAUUGAAAUGGAGCA
Ketogulonicigenium vulgare Y25 is the source of this 50-nucleotide non-coding RNA. Lineage: Bacteria; Pseudomonadati; Pseudomonadota; Alphaproteobacteria; Rhodobacterales; Roseobacteraceae. The record is from Rfam.